ACUCCUACGGGAGGCAGCAGUGGGGAAUAUUGGACAAUGGGCGAAAGCCUGAUCCAGCAAUGCCGCGUGAGUGAUGAAGGCCCUAGGGUUGUAAAGCUCUUUUACCCGGGAGAUAAUGACUGAUACCGGGAGCAAGUAAGACCCCGGUCUAACUCCGUGCCAGCAGCCGCGGUAAUACGGAGGGGGCUAGCGUUGUUCGGAAUUUACU
Molecule: ribosomal RNA, 208 nt
Filed under: uncultured bacterium
Lineage: Bacteria
Description: partial 16S ribosomal RNA
Rfam family: Bacterial small subunit ribosomal RNA
Source: RNAcentral